This 69-nucleotide transfer RNA is filed under the name Dipodomys ordii (Ord's kangaroo rat). It matches the Rfam family "tRNA". Rfam says of the family: Transfer RNA (tRNA) molecules are approximately 80 nucleotides in length. Their secondary structure includes four short double-helical elements and three loops (D, anti-codon, and T loops). The record is from Rfam by way of RNAcentral. Lineage: Eukaryota; Metazoa; Chordata; Mammalia; Rodentia; Heteromyidae.
GGAAUGUGGCUUAGUGGUAGAGUGCUUGCCUAGCAUGCAAGAAGUCCUGGGUUCAAUUCCUCAGUACCA